UCAAAAACAUGUCUUAUUGAUUUUAUUUUUAGGUUUAGCCUGCCCACUGAAUUAUUAUUGAAUGGCCGCGGUAUUUUGACCGUGCUAAGGUAGCAUAAUCAUUAGUUUCUUAAUUAGAAGCUGGAAUGAAAGGUUGGAUGAGGGAAUUACUGUCUCUAAUUAAAUUUUUUUGAAUUUUAUUUUUUAGUGAAAAAGCUAAAAUUUUUUUGAAAGACGAGAAGACCCUUUAGAGUUUUAUAAAAUUUAGAUUUUUAUUAUUUAUUGGAAUAUAAAAUUUUAAGUUUAAAUUUUAUUUGAUUGGGGUGAUUGAAAAAUUAAAUUAACUUUUUUUGUUGAAAACAUUAAUGCAUGAUUUUUUGAUCCAAUAUUUUUGAUUAAAAGAUAAAAUUACCUUAGGGAUAACAGCGUAAUUUUUUUAGAGAGCUCUUAUCGAAAAAAAAGAUUGCGACCUCGAUGUUGGAUUAAAAUAAAUAAUUGGUGUAGAAGCUAGUUAAAUUAGGUCUGUUCGACCUUUAAAAUUUUACAUGAUCUGA
This 533-nucleotide ribosomal RNA is filed under the name Callosobruchus maculatus (cowpea weevil). RNAcentral describes it as "partial 16S ribosomal RNA". It matches the Rfam family "Bacterial large subunit ribosomal RNA", at positions 1890 to 2608 of the family's 2925-position model. Lineage: Eukaryota; Metazoa; Arthropoda; Insecta; Coleoptera; Chrysomelidae. The record is from RNAcentral.